RNAcentral lists this ribosomal RNA (433 nucleotides) under uncultured bacterium. RNAcentral describes it as "partial 16S ribosomal RNA". It matches the Rfam family "Bacterial small subunit ribosomal RNA", at positions 29 to 507 of the family's 1533-position model. The record is from RNAcentral.
AACGAACGCUGGCGGCAUGCCUAACACAUGCAAGUCGAACGAGACCUUCGGGUCUAGUGGCUCACGGGUGCGUAACGCGUGGGAACCUUCCCUUAGGUUCGGAAUAACUCCCCGAAAGGGGUGCUAAUACCGGAUAAUUUCUGCGGACCAAAGAUUUAUCGCCUUUGGAUGGGCCCGCGUUGUAUUAGCUAGUUGGUAGUGUAAAAGCCUACCAAGGCGACGAUCCAUAGCUGGUCUGAGAGGAUGAUCAGCCACACUGGGACUGAGACACGGCCCAGACUCCUACGGGAGGCAGCAGUGGGGAAUAUUGGACAAUGGGCGAAAGCCUGAUCCAGCAAUGCCGCGUGAGUGAUGAAGGCCUGAGGGUUGUAAAGCUCUUUUACCCGGGAUGAUAAUGACAGUACCGGGAGAAUAAGCUCCGGCUAACUCCGUG